CUGCCCUCAAGCACGGCUUGUGUGUUGGGUCCCCGCCCCCUGCUUCCAGGGGGCGGACCCGAAAGGCAGCGGCGGCACCGCGUCCGGUCCUCGAGCGUAUGGGGCUUCGUCACCCGCUCUUGUAGGCCCGGCCGGCGCCCGCCGGCGACCCCCCAUCAAUCUUUUCA
RNAcentral lists this unclassified non-coding RNA (167 nucleotides) under uncultured Penicillium. RNAcentral's name for it is "sequence contains ITS2". Lineage: Eukaryota; Fungi; Ascomycota; Eurotiomycetes; Eurotiales; Aspergillaceae. The record is from RNAcentral.